RNAcentral lists this ribosomal RNA (508 nucleotides) under uncultured bacterium. Its description in RNAcentral is "partial 16S ribosomal RNA". It matches the Rfam family "Bacterial small subunit ribosomal RNA", at positions 30 to 523 of the family's 1533-position model. The record is from RNAcentral.
AUUGAACGCUGGCGGCAUGCCUUACACAUGCAAGUCGAACGGCAGCGGGGGAGAAGCUUGCUUUUCCUGCCGGCGAGUGGCGAACGGGUGAGUAAUACAUCGGAACGUGCCCUGUAGUGGGGGAUAACUAGUCGAAAGAUUAGCUAAUACCGCAUACGACCUGAGGGUGAAAGUGGGGGACCGCAAGGCCUCAUGCUAUAGGAGCGGCCGAUGUCUGAUUAGCUAGUUGGUGGGGUAAAGGCCUACCAAGGCGACGAUCAGUAGCUGGUCUGAGAGGACGAGCAGCCAGACUGGGACUGAGACACGGCCCAGACUCCUACGGGAGGCAGCAGUGGGGAAUUUUGGACAAUGGGCGAAAGCCUGAUCCAGCAAUGCCGCGUGUGUGAAGAAGGCCUUCGGGUCGUAAAGCACUUUUGUCCGGAAAGAAAUGGCUCUGGUUAAUACCUGGGGUCGAUGACGGUACCGGAAGAAUAAGGACCGGCUAACUACGUGCCAGCCGCCGCCGUAA